This 250-nucleotide ribosomal RNA is filed under the name uncultured bacterium. Its description in RNAcentral is "partial 16S ribosomal RNA". It matches the Rfam family "Bacterial small subunit ribosomal RNA", at positions 524 to 773 of the family's 1533-position model. The record is from RNAcentral.
UACGUAGGUGGCAAGCGUUGUCCGGAUUUAUUGGGCGUAAAGCGAGCGCAGGCGGUUCUUUAAGUCUGAUGUGAAAGCCCCCGGCUCAACCGGGGAGGGUCAUUGGAAACUGGAGAACUUGAGUGCAGAAGAGGAGAGUGGAAUUCCACGUGUAGCGGUGAAAUGCGUAGAUAUGUGGAGGAACACCAGUGGCGAAGGCGACUCUCUGGUCUGUAACUGACGCUGAGGCUCGAAAGCGUGGGGAGCAAAC